AACGAACGCUGGCGGCAUGCCUAACACAUGCAAGUCGAACGAGACCUUCGGGUCUAGUGGCGCACGGGUGCGUAACGCGUGGGAACCUGCCCUUAGGUUCGGAAUAACUCCCCGAAAGGGGUGCUAAUACCGGAUAAUGUCUUCGGACCAAAGAUUUAUCGCCUUUGGAUGGGCCCGAGUUGGAUUAGCUAGUUGGUAGGGUAAAAGCCUACCAAGGCGACGAUCCAUAGCUGGUCUGAGAGGAUGAUCAGCCACACUGGGACUGAGACGCGGCCCAGACUCCUACGGGAGGCAGCAGUGGGGAAUAUUGGAAAAUGGGCGAAAGGCUGAACCAGCAAUGACGCGUGAGUGAUGAAGGCCUUAGGGUUGUAAAGCGCUUUUAACCGGGAUGAUAAUGACAGUACCGGGAGAAUAAGCUCCGGCUAACUACGUG
This 433-nucleotide ribosomal RNA is filed under the name uncultured bacterium. Its description in RNAcentral is "partial 16S ribosomal RNA". It matches the Rfam family "Bacterial small subunit ribosomal RNA", at positions 29 to 507 of the family's 1533-position model. The record is from RNAcentral.